Molecule: ribosomal RNA, 253 nt
Filed under: uncultured bacterium
Lineage: Bacteria
Description: partial 16S ribosomal RNA
Rfam family: Bacterial small subunit ribosomal RNA
Source: RNAcentral
UACGGGGGGGGCAAGCGUUGUUCGGAAUUACUGGGCGUAAAGGGCGCGUAGGCGGUGCUCUAAGUCGGAUGUGAAAACUCUGGGCUCAACCCAGAGCCUGCAUCCGAAACUGGAGUGCUAGAGUUCUGGAGGGGGUAGCGGAAUUCCUGGUGUAGCGGUGAAAUGCGUAGAUAUCAGGAGGAACACCAGUGGCGAAGGCGACUACCUGGCCUGUUCUUGACGCUGAGGCGCGAAAGCUAGGGGAGCAAACGGG